GUAGGUGGCAAGCGUUGUCCGGAAUUAUUGGGCGUAAAGCGCGCGCAGGUGGUUCUUUAAGUCUGAUGUGAAAGCCCCCGGGCUCAACCGGGGAGGGUCAUUGGAAACUGGGGAACUUGAGUGCAGGAGAGGAAAGUGGAAUUCCACGUGUAGCGGUGAAAUGCGUAGAUAUGUGGAGGAACACCAGUGGCGAAGGCGACUUUCUGGCCUGUAACUGACACUGAGGCGCGAAAGCGUGGGGAGCAGACAGGAUUAGAUACCCUGGUAGUCCACGCCGUAAACGAUGAGUGCUAAGUGUUGGGGGGUUUCCGCCCCUCAGUGCUGCAGCUAACGCAUUAAGCACUCCGCCUGGGGAGUACGGUCGCAAGACUG
This 372-nucleotide ribosomal RNA is filed under the name uncultured organism. RNAcentral's name for it is "partial 16S ribosomal RNA". It matches the Rfam family "Bacterial small subunit ribosomal RNA", at positions 527 to 896 of the family's 1533-position model. The record is from RNAcentral.